AGUGAACGCUGGCGGUAGGCCUAACACAUGCAAGUCGAACGGCAGCACAGUAAGAGCUUGCUCUUACGGGUGGCGAGUGGCGGACGGGUGAGGAAUACAUCGGAAUCUACUCUUUCGUGGGGGAUAACGUAGGGAAACUUACGCUAAUACCGCAUACGACCUACGGGUGAAAGCAGGGGAUCUUCUGACCUUGCGCGAUUGAAUGAGCCGAUGUCGGAUUAGCUGGUUGGCGGGGUAAAGGCCCACCAAGGCGACGAUCCGUAGCUGGUCUGAGAGGAUGGUCGGCGGCACUGGAACUGGGACACGGUCCAGAGUCCUACGGGAGGCAGCAGUGGGGAAUAUUGGACAAUGGGCGCAAGCCUGAUCCAACCAUAGCGCGUGGGUGACGAAGGCCUUCGGGUUGUAAAGCCCUUUUGUUGGGAGAGAAAAGCAGCAGGUUAAUACGCCGCUGUUCUGACGGUACCCAAAGAAUAAGCACCGGCUAACUUCGUG
This 492-nucleotide ribosomal RNA is filed under the name uncultured bacterium. RNAcentral describes it as "partial 16S ribosomal RNA". It matches the Rfam family "Bacterial small subunit ribosomal RNA", at positions 29 to 507 of the family's 1533-position model. The record is from RNAcentral.